Molecule: ribosomal RNA, 301 nt
Filed under: uncultured bacterium
Lineage: Bacteria
Description: partial 16S ribosomal RNA
Rfam family: Bacterial small subunit ribosomal RNA
Source: RNAcentral
CAGUCGCCGCGGUAAUACAGAGGAUGCAAGCGUUAUUCGGAAUGAUUGGGCAUAAAGCGUCUGUAGGUGGCUUUUCAAGUCCACCGUCAAAUCCCCGGGCUCAACCCUGGACAGGCAGUGGAAACUACCAAGCUGGAGUACGGUAGGGGCAGAGUGAAUUUCCGGUGGAGCGAUGAAAUGCGUUGAGAUCAGAAAGAACACCAACGGCGAAAGCACUCUGCUGGGCCGACACUGACACUAAGAGACGAAAGCUAGGGGAGCAAAUGGGAUUAGAUACCCCCGUAGUCCCUGUCUCUUAUAC